Molecule: ribosomal RNA, 484 nt
Filed under: uncultured bacterium
Lineage: Bacteria
Description: partial 16S ribosomal RNA
Rfam family: Bacterial small subunit ribosomal RNA
Source: RNAcentral
AUUGAACGCUGGCGGCAGGCCUAACACAUGCAAGUCGAGCGGAUGAAGGGAGCUUGCUCCUGGAUUCAGCGGCGGACGGGUGAGUAAUGCCUAGGAAUCUGCCUGGUAGUGGGGGAUAACGUCCGGAAACGGGCGCUAAUACCGCAUACGUCCUGAGGGAGAAAGUGGGGGAUCUUCGGACCUCACGCUAUCAGAUGAGCCUAGGUCGGAUUAGCUAGUUGGCGGGGUAAAGGCCUACCAAGGCGACGAUCCGUAACUGGUCUGAGAGGAUGAUCAGUCACACUGGAACUGAGACACGGUCCAGACUCCUACGGGAGGCAGCAGUGGGGAAUAUUGGACAAUGGGCGAAAGCCUGAUCCAGCCAUGCCGCGUGUGUGAAGAAGGCCUUCGGAUUGUAAAGCACUUUAAGUUGGGAGGAAGGGCAGUAAGUUAAUACCUUGCUGUUUUGACGUUACCAACAGAAUAAGCACCGGCUAACUUCGUG